AUACGGAGGGUGCGAGCGUUACUCGGAGUCACUGGGCGUAAAGCGUCCGUAGGCGGUCGGGUAAGUCGGGUGUGAAAGCCCCGGGCUCAACCUGGGAAGUGCACCCGAUACUGCUCGACUCGAGUGCGGGAGAGGAUGGCGGAAUUCCCGGUGUAGCGGUGAAAGGCGUAGAGGUCGGGAGGAACACCAGUGGCGAAGGCGGCCAUCUGGCCCGCAACUGACGCUGAGGGACGAAAGCGUGGGAAGCAAACAGGAUUAGAAACCCCAGUAGUCC
This 274-nucleotide ribosomal RNA is filed under the name uncultured bacterium. Its description in RNAcentral is "partial 16S ribosomal RNA". It matches the Rfam family "Bacterial small subunit ribosomal RNA", at positions 523 to 796 of the family's 1533-position model. The record is from RNAcentral.